GCCACAGUGGUCUAGCGGUUAGAACGCUGGCCUUGUAAUCCUGAGGUCUCGGGUUCGAUUCCCGGCGGUGCCC
This 73-nucleotide transfer RNA is filed under the name Zootermopsis nevadensis. It matches the Rfam family "tRNA". Rfam says of the family: Transfer RNA (tRNA) molecules are approximately 80 nucleotides in length. Lineage: Eukaryota; Metazoa; Arthropoda; Insecta; Blattodea; Termopsidae. The record is from Rfam by way of RNAcentral.